This 662-nucleotide long non-coding RNA is filed under the name Heterocephalus glaber (naked mole-rat). RNAcentral describes it as "lncRNA (ENSHGLG00000040113.1)". Lineage: Eukaryota; Metazoa; Chordata; Mammalia; Rodentia; Bathyergidae. The record is from RNAcentral.
AGCCACAAGCACAAAUCAAGGCCAUGGCCACUGAGCAACUUCUGAGCCUGCUCUUUAAGAAUGUGCUCUUGUUUUCAAUACAUAAUCUGUCCUGUUCUUUCAAAGUCUUGAUUUCUUUUCUUUUCACGUACAAGAUGGUACUCACUCACAGCCUUGUGUUCCAAAACGGCAAAGCUGGUAAUGACUUUUUCAGACAGAAACUGACAGAGUAGAGCCUUUUGUUUUCCUGCAUUCUUAACAAGCCUGAUGAGUCUGUGCUGUGUACUGUGAACAUUUGGGAAAGCCCAGGAAACACAGUCAGAGAGAAAUUGCCAGUUGGACUGACAGCGCUGCCCACCUGCUGCAUCCAAGAAGCAACAACUGAAGUUUGCUUAGCUGUUCUCACCACAAAACAAAGCAAAGCGGAAAAAGAGUAACUAGGUUAGGUGAAAGACGUGUUAACUAGCUGGACUGGAGUAAUCAUUUCUUAAAAGCUAGGUAUGUCAAAACAUCACCUUGAAAUCAUCAGAUUUUAUUUGUUGACUGUACAUCAAUAAAGCUGUAAAUUAAAAAUAAAAGAAACAACUGUUGUGAGUCUUUAACAAAAGAACCUGUUGAGGACAUGAUGGAAAAUAGUUUUAUGUUAGCCUCCUUCCUACAUAACUCUUUGCCUCUAUCUUUAU